AGAGUUUGAUCCUGGCUCAGGAUGAACGCUAGCGGGAGGCUUAAUACAUGCAAGUCGAACGGUAACAAUUCGGUUGACGAGUGGCGAACGGGUGAGUAACGCGUACGCAACCUACCUUCAAGAGUGGAAUAGCCCCGGGAAACUGGGAUUAAUACCGCAUAGUAUUUACGAAGCGAGUGCUUUGUAAAUUAAAGUUCAGGCGCUUGAAGAUGGGCGUGCGUGCUAUUAGCUAGUUGGUGAGGUAACGGCUCACCAAGGCGAUGAUAGCUAGGGGGCGUGAGAGCGUGGCCCCCCACACGGGUACUGAGACACGGACCCGACUCCUACGGGAGGCAGCAGUAAGGAAUAUUGGGCAAUGGAGGCAACUCUGAUCCAGCCAUGCCGCGUGAGUGAAGAAGGCCUUCGGGUUGUAAAACUCUUUCAGUGGUGAAGAUGAUGACGGUAACCACAGAAGAAGCUCCGGCUAACUUCGUGCCAGCAGCCGCGGUAAUACGAAGGGGGCGAGCGUUGUUCGGAAUCACUGGGCUUAAAGCGUACGUAGGCGACUAUUCAAGUCAGAAGUGAAAUCCCGGGGCUUAACCCCGGAACUGCUUUUGAAACUAGAUAGCUAGAGUCCCGGAGAGGUUAGGGGAAUUCCGAGUGUAGAGGUGAAAUUCGCAGAUAUUCGGAGGAACACCAGUGGCGUAGGCGCCUAACUGGACGGGAACUGACGCUGAGGUACGAAAGCGUGGGGAGCAAACAGGAUUAGAUACCCUGGUAGUCCACGCCGUAAACUAUGUGUGCUAGUUGUUGGGAGUUCCGCUCUCAGUGACGGAGAGAAAUCAUUAAGCACACCGCCUGGGGAGUACGGUCGCAAGAUUAAAACUCAAAGGAAUUGACGG
Molecule: ribosomal RNA, 881 nt
Filed under: uncultured bacterium
Lineage: Bacteria
Description: bacterial SSU rRNA
Rfam family: Bacterial small subunit ribosomal RNA
Source: RNAcentral